Leptonychotes weddellii (Weddell seal) is the source of this 1436-nucleotide non-coding RNA. The record is from RefSeq and is a predicted model, not a curated record. NCBI's taxonomy places the organism in Eukaryota, Metazoa, Chordata, Mammalia, Carnivora, Phocidae.
UCCAUGGUUCCUGUUCCUACUUUGUCCCCUGGGCUGUGUUGCCUCUGGACGACAGCCUAGUUUGGAAACAUCCCCGCCCCCCGCCCCUCCCUCGCCCUGGAGGCUUUCAGAGCCGAGAGGGCACACAGGGGCCCUUUCAGCCAGUGUUAAGAUCUUGGCUCCUGUUAGGGGGAGAUUUGUGUUUCCUGUUUACCUGCUGGAUGGUGUUUCAAGAGGCAAGGGCCUGGACUCCCUCUUACAUGGAGACUUUGGAUGCAUCCACCCAGGAACUCGAGGGAGUGACAACCUGUCAUACGUGCAUACAGCAGAGUGCUACCCAGGGACAGCAAGGAAGAAACCACUGAUUUACACAACAGCAUGGAUAAACUAAAUGCAUUUUGCUUGGUGAAAGAAGACAGGCUCAAAAGGCUUUAAAUUGUCAGAGAGGCCAGGCAAUGCUUUCUCAGGGGCUCUGAUGGAGGCAGAGCAGGACUUCUGGUGCAGGCCCGUCCCUGCUCCCCGUCCCCGGGGCCUGCUGCAUCUGGGUUUAUGGUAAGUGUUCGGGGAGGAAUUUCCAGGCCUCCCAUCCAGCUGUGCAUGUUUCUAGCACGAGCGCGCUUGUGUCCACUGAUCUUCAUGGAAACGCCAGCAUUCUGCAUGGGAGCACAUUUCCAUGUGUGCACGUCCUUCUCUGCUCUUUGCUGCCACUUCCUGUCCUCUCGCGGACCAGCGUUAUGGCCGCGGCCCUUGCGGGGGAGCACAUCUGGAUUUGAACACGGUCUUCGGCACUGACUCAGUCAUGUGGCCCCGAACAAGCUACCUGGUCCUCCUCCAUGAAGCUUGCUUUAGCUGCUUCGGCUCAUUUGGAUUCCCCUUUCCUUUGGGCUCCCAUGCCAGAUCUUGCUGCUGCAAGGCCAUUCGACAUGAAACCUUCUCCCCCACCCACCUCUGAUCUCUGCAAGAAGACAGUCCUGACGAUGGUCCCGGAGCUGAAGAUUUCAUUCAGGCACCGUGGCAAGCCUAUCGCCUCUCCAAGAACGAGCUGCUUUCAUCCGCCAGGGAGACCCAGCUUCCUCAACUCUCAAAUCCAAUGCAGUGCUAGGUCGGAAAUUUCCAACCAUCCAUCACAGAAGAUACAGAGGGGCCAAUUGGGUAGGUUUCUAGGUACCCAUUCUCUUUAAAAGAAGCAGAUUGUAUGUUUUAUACACUGAGUUUCUGUCUGGUGUUUUGUCGGGAGGGUACCAUGGAGGGAAAAAAGAUGUCAAAAACUAUUAUCUUAAAGACUUUUCUAAUAUUUGAUAAUGAGAUAUCGUUUGUAUUAAUUAUAUCGCUCAGUUAGGUGUGAGGGCCUUCAAGGCCUGCUACCUUGGUGAUAUUGCCACAGAGCCAACUAGCUCAGGGCUGGGCUCACAGAAGGUUCAAUAAACAUUUGCUGUUUGAUUGUGUUUUCACUCUAA